Molecule: ribosomal RNA, 796 nt
Filed under: uncultured Methanosarcina sp.
Lineage: Archaea; Methanobacteriati; Methanobacteriota; Methanomicrobia; Methanosarcinales; Methanosarcinaceae
Description: bacterial SSU rRNA
Rfam family: Archaeal small subunit ribosomal RNA
Source: RNAcentral
ACGGCUCAGUAACACGUGGAUAACNUGCCCUUGGNUCCGGCAUAACCCCGGGAAACUGGGGAUAAUUCCGGAUAACGCACAUAUGCUGGAAUGCUUUAUGCGUAAAAUGGAUUCGUCUGCCCAAGGAUGGGUCUGCGGCCUAUCAGGUAGUAGUGGGUGUAAUGUACCUACUAGCCAACAACGGGUACGGGUUGUGAGAGCAAGAGCCCGGAGAUGGAUUCUGAGACAUGAAUCCAGGCCCUACGGGGCGCAGCAGGCGCGAAAACUUUACAAUGCGGGAAACCGUGAUAAGGGGACACCGAGUGCCAGCACCAUAUGCUGGCUGUCCAGGUGUGUAAAAUACACCUGUCAGCAAGGGCCGGGCAAGACCGGUGCCAGCCGCCGCGGUAACACCGGCGGCCCGAGUGGUGAUCGUGAUUAUUGGGUCUAAAGGGUCCGUAGCCGGUUUGGUCAGUCCUCCGGGAAAUCUGACGGCUCAACCGUUAGGCUUUCGGGGGAUACUGCCAGGCUUGGAACCGGGAGAGGUAAGAGGUACUACAGGGGUAGGAGUGAAAUCUUGUAAUCCCUGUGGGACCACCUGUGGCGAAGGCGUCUUACCAGAACGGGUUCGACGGUGAGGGACGAAAGCUGGGGGCACGAACCGGAUUAGAUACCCGGGUAGUCCCAGCCGUAAACGAUGCUCGCUAGGUGUCAGGCAUGGCGCGACCGUGUCUGGUGCCGCAGGGAAGCCGUGAAGCGAGCCACCUGGGAAGUACGGCCGCAAGGCUGAAACUUAAAGGAAUUGGCGGGGGAGCAC